RNAcentral lists this long non-coding RNA (3948 nucleotides) under Homo sapiens (human). RNAcentral describes it as "HSALNT0388866". Lineage: Eukaryota; Metazoa; Chordata; Mammalia; Primates; Hominidae. The record is from RNAcentral.
AGAGGCAGAAAUGGAGGUUGGGUCAGGCCUGGCUCAGACCCUAGGCUCUGUCACUGACUGGCUGUGUGGGUCCAGGAAAGUCCUUGUCCUCUCUGGGCCUCAGUUUCCUCUGAAGAAUGGGAGUGAUAAGCUAUGCCCCAUCUCCUUCACCAAAAGGAAGCAAGACCUGAUGGAGCUGCUGGGUAACUGGAGAUGCCUCCUGCUGGCUCCUUUCUGGGGUCCCUGCCUAGCCCUGUCCUCUCCUCUUACUUUCUGCCCUGGCUGAGUAGGCUGUGGCCAUGUGGUUACUGCCUUCUCUGGGCAUAGCUGAUUGCUUCAUAUGGCCUGACCUAAGGCUGCAUGUCCAAAGUCUGGUUGGUGGCCAGUCUAACUCACUUUUGAGAACCUGCACUAAAAGAGGUAGGGGGUGGGAAAAACUGGGCAGGCCAGCGGAGGUGGGGAGUGGCAGCUCUGAGACCUGAAGCCUCAGAACCAGCUCUCCUCCUCCUCUUCCUCCUCAAGAUGGACCUCAACUCACUGAACUCUGGUUCACUCUUUUGGUCCCAGAGCUAAUUCUUUGGUUGUUUAAGGUUUAGCAUAGGAGACCCCAAAGCAGCAAGGUUCUGGCCCUGGUUCUGCCACUUGCCAGCUCCACGCCCUCAGAUCAGUGGCUUCAGAGCCUCAACGUGCUCAGCUGUGAAACAGGGACAGGGUGAGGCCUUCCCAGGUAUGAUCCACUGUGCCCAUCCUGGAUGCAGACUUUAAGCAGAGUCACAUCAACAAGAAGAGCUGUGAAGGUCAGGGCAUGACCCACAGAUGCCCAAACACUGCACUGGAGGUCCAGGAAGAUUCUGCUGACAACGCAACCCUGAGCCAAGAUCUGAAGGAUAAGAGGGAGCUUAUAACAUGGAAGAAGGAACAGUAUUCCUGGCAAGUGGAACAGCAUGUGCAAAGGUCAGGUGGUAAGAGGGGCUUCAAGGACAGUCCUAUGGCUGGAGCAGAGUGAUUGAGGGCAUGUGAAAUGAGAGGUGGCCAGGGUGGCAGGCAGGGACUAGCCCAAUGGCCGUGAAAGGGAUGGGACUUUGGUCACUGUUUCGCAUUUCCAGAUGUUUACUAUGUGCCAGGCUUGGUACUAAAUGCUUUUCUGGAAUAUCUCACUAGAUUCUCACAUAGAUGAAGGGCUUGAUCUUAGAGAGGUUAGAUCCCUCAGCCGAGAGCCCACAGUGAGGAAGCCAUGGGGCCUGUGUCCCUGACUGCAAGACCUGUGCUCAGAACGGCCAGGCCACACAGACCUCAACUCUCACUACAACCUCCUGAAGUCGGUGUGGUUACUCUUCCCACUUUACAGAUGAGGACAUGGGCCCAGAGAGGUUAUGUGAGUGACACAGCUUGAAGGUGGAGUUAAGCCUGGGCAGUCUGGCUUCAGAGUGUCCACAGUCUCAACCACUGCCUCACAUGGCUUCUUAGAAAAUAUUAUAAAAAGAAGCUCGGGCUGCCAUGUGGAAAAGAAUGGAGAGGGGACAAUGACACAGCUGGGAGCAUGCUGUGAUGGUGUACAGCGGACACAUUCAGGAUGAGGUGAAACAGGCUGGCCCUGGUGAGAGGCUAGAUGGGGCUGGGAUGAGGGUGGAGACAAGUAGUCUUGGGGUUGGCUUGGUGCAGCUGGGGGGUGCGGGGAGUGUCUCUGAGGUGAGGCCGGGGGUAUGGGAACGCCAUGUUUGGUCUGGGACACGGUGGGCUUGGGAUGGCUACAGGACAGUGCAGUGGAGAGUCAAAAAGGCUGCUCGGACCCAGGUCUGGCGAGAUGGAAGCUGGAGGUCAGGUGAGCUGUCUAGGAGAGGGACAGAGUGGGAAGGAGAGGGUCUCGACUCGGCUUUCUUGCCAAAGGAGGGUUCCGAAAUGAGAAACUGUGGAAUCUAAGCUGGAGAGGAAGAAAGACGGAGAAUGAGUGAACGCACACGUGUGGGACAGAUAGAUGAAUAUUCAUGUCUUUGGCUCCUAUGUACCUGAGUCUUCUAAAGCUGCAGGCCAUACUACCCCCGGGAGGCUGCAGGGAUGCCAGCUGGGAGAUGAAUGCAACUCUGCUGCCUGGGCAUGGGCCUGAGUGAGGGUGCAGACCCCUGCCUGUGAUCAUCAGGGAGGGUGAUGAGAACAAGGUGGCUGACAGGGUGAGGCCCAAGCCUGGAGCUUACCCAGGUGCGGGGAUGGGAGGGUCAGAGACCUUUGGGGGGUCUUAGGGAGCUUCCCCAGCCCUAAAGGCACCGCAAGCUGCCACUUCACACUGACCUGGGCAUACGCAGCUGCAGGAUCCCUUGCUCGCUCUCUCACAAGCAAAUGUAGACUGCGCAACCAUCCUGACCACAGAUCCAGAAAGCCCAGGACAUAACAGAGCCGCAGUGCCUGCCCUGAUCCACGCGCACACAGAUCUAGCCCAGGAACAAGCCCAUCCACGGUGAGGAACUUGUGGCCCAGUGGCUGGAGCCUCUCACCUGAGCCCUCACUGCCUGAGGACCCCCAGCCUCUGGCCUCAUUUCCCACCCUUUGCCAGCCAGCCUUGGGGACAAAACAGGUCUGGAUCUAAUCCAAGGUCUGGACUCACCCUGACACCCUGUGAACUCAAGGCCUUCCCUACCUCACCCUGGGCCCAGAGCCCCUACCUGUAAAGUGGAAGUGGGAAUGGCCACCAGCCAGGCAGAAACCCUCACUUAGGGCCUCAUGGCCAGGCAUCAGGACAGUCAGGAGAGGGGCCGAGGUAAGCCACAGAGGCCCUGCCUGUCUUGGUAUCCCACCAUCGCCAGGAGGGGACUGCAUGGGCAUCACACCCCUCACAGAUGAACAAAGUGAGGCAGAGAAGGGCCUCAAGAUGAGUUAGGGGCGAGGCCCCAGCUCUGCUGCUGCCCCUUCCCUUAUCACCCCUGCAGCCUGGGAUGCGAGGGUGGCCAGUGACAGACCCCAAGGACUCUAGGCUAAGGUCUCCUUACCUGCGUUCUGUGGCCUGCUCCCCGCCUGCAUGCCGCCUCAUGGGGGUCCUCUGGCUGGCCCAGGAGCACGGUUGGCCCAGCAGAGCAGCUCAGUGUUAUGGGGAAGGGAGGCCCAGCCCACCACGCCGACCGCCUGGGGCCCUAUGUAUAUUUAAUGAUGUCUAUUAUUCCUGUUUUGUCUCUGGAAAGGAGUGAGCAGCUGACAGGGGAGCCACGAACAGCCUGGAGAGCUGAGCAUGGGCCUGCUCCACACUCCAGCGGGGCCCGAGGCCCCCGGGAACUCUACCCCUCCUGGCAGCCUCACAGAACCUGCUGCAUCCAUCUCAAAAGGCAUACCUCCUCCAGGAAGCCUUCCCCGCUGCUCAGAGGUCUUAAAUCCGGGGUCUGCACUCACAAACUGUGCAGCCUACACCAGCUUCUGGGGGACAGCAGAACACUGUGGGGGGCCUGGCACAGUCCCUGGCACACGGUAGGCACUCAUCGAGCCCCUGCCAGCCCCUCUACUCCUGACUUCUGAGGCAACAGGAAAUGACCCGCCACCUUGUUCUCACAGAGCCUCCCUGCCAGCCCAGAUGGUCACAAGGGCCUCCUGGGAUGCUGCCCACCUUGGCAGCCAGGCCCCUCCGGAGGGGCCAGUCUGGGCCUGACACCCCCGAACACCAACCCCCUGGGCAGAGCCUGCCUGUGCCUGGAGCCCACAAGACGUCACCCACCCUGCCCACGGCAAUUCAGAACUGGAAUGGGCCAAUGCCUCCAGCAGCUAUGAAGGGGACCCUCCUGCAGUGUCUCCUUGGCCUCAUGGACAAAGUGCUCUGCCCUGGGCAGGAAGUCCUGGGCUCCGUGACGGCUGUGUGCUGCUGGAGGCUGUGCUGGCUUUUCCUCCUCCACAGCCAAAGUGGCUGGGAGGCCUGACGACUGGGGUCAGAACCCACAGCAAGGACAGCAGAGUGGCAGGAUGCCAGUGGCCUCACCUGAUGACCACACUGUU